RNAcentral lists this ribosomal RNA (273 nucleotides) under uncultured bacterium. RNAcentral describes it as "partial 16S ribosomal RNA". It matches the Rfam family "Bacterial small subunit ribosomal RNA", at positions 80 to 353 of the family's 1533-position model. The record is from RNAcentral.
UAAGUCGAUGGCGACCGGCGCACGGGUGAGUAACACGUAUCCAACCUGCCGAUGACUCGGGGAUAGCCUUUCGAAAGAAAGAUUAAUACCCGAUGGCAUAGUUCUUCCGCAUGGUAGAACUAUUAAAGAAUUUCGGUCAUCGAUGGGGAUGCGUUCCAUUAGGUUGUUGGCGGGGUAACGGCCCACCAAGCCUUCGAUGGAUAGGGGUUCUGAGAGGAAGGUCCCCCACAUUGGAACUGAGACACGGUCCAAACUCCUACGGGAGGCAGCAUG